ACAUUGCGAAAGAACGUAUACAGCUAUAUCACUUUCGUCCAAGUCCCCCGUAAAGCUGAUAAUGAUAAAAAAAAUGCGUCAUUUUAUGCUCCUCAGUACGUGUGUCGAUUAUCAUGACGAUACGUUGCUGAAAAACGAGUUCUAUCUGUCUCUCAAUUUGCACGUUGAUUUCGAAUUUUGAUUUUGGCAAAACUGACUGAAAUUGCAUUAUAGAUUUGGUGAUUUGUGUACACGUGUUGAUCGUUUUGUCUAGUCGAAUUUCACCAGCGAAGAGAGUAGACCUAUAGUCGAAAUGGUUCAAAGUGAUUUAUAUUGUGAUGUUUUUGUGACGUUUGCAUUGUCUAUUUUUUUGCUGACUAAGCAGGGUAAUUCACCCGGAUGAUCCCUGCCAUUGGCUUAUCGAAGUAUCGAUGAUUCUUCGUCGCAUCUUUAUCAUAAUAGGUUCCCGAUGAUAGAGGAAACUCUAGUACGAAAUUUUCAGUCUGUUUUUACCCGUCUGACGUGCUCGGUGUUUUGAAUAUCCACUCACAUUCAUCUAUUCUUGCGUCAUUAACUGUCAAGUCGAGGAACGCGUUUAGAUUUCUUUGAAUUUGUCUUUUUCUGCUUUGCUGCCGCGUUGUGCAUUUUUAAUAGGCCGACAGCAAAGUGAAAAAGACCGAUUCAUAGUUAUGGGAUCAUCGUAAUAAUGCCAGAAGAGUAUUUUUCCUCUUUUAAUAAUAUUUGCUUUCGUGUACUCGACAGUAUUUUAAGAUUAAAUUGAAUUUUUUUUUAGACGUGUCAAGAUUUUAAAGACUUAUUUUGAUUUUUUAUUGUUAAAUUUAGAUAAGAAUUCGAAUUUUUUUUUUCAUCGUCUUUGUAUAAAUAGACAUUAUUUUGGUUCGUAUUUUAAGCUUGGUAAAGAAAACUUCUCAUCGUGAAUACGAUAAAAAAAUUUCAAUUACUGAUAAACCUUUUGACGUAUUUAAUUACCAAAAUUACAGCCAAUUCAUCGAGUUAUCUAGUCUUGUAAUUUUACGCAAAAAAAUAAUACUUAAUAGAACGCCACGUUGUUCGAAUAUAAAAUUACUUGCAUAUUUAAAAUGUAUUUUGCGAAUGACAUUUUUUCGUUGGUAAUGCGACGAAUAGAUUUCUCAAAAUUAUUUUGUUGACGUACAUUUUGGUUAGAAAAAUAUAACAACAUUAUUUAAUAGGUUUUUUCACAGUUUUACUGUUGUUUCUCUCUUCACUCCGUGUUCCUUUUUAAAAUUCAUGUAAAACGAAAAUUUGUUUAUAUUAUUGUAAUCAUUCCAAGUGGAUCACGUAAAAUUACCAAUCGUAAAUCUUUUUCUCGCUUUUCCUCAGUUUUCACCUGUGUUUUUCGACUCGUUUCUCUUCCUCUUACUCUCCUCCAGGCUCGACCUUUGUGUUUACCGAAUUAAUUAUUUAGUUGCUACGUCUGCGUUAUUUAUACUUUUAGAUUUAAGUGCAGUGAACUUGUACUAGAAAAUGUCUCGAUCAAGAUAGCUUUAAUUGCAACAGUAAUUUUAAUUCUAAGCAUUAGAUCGAACGAUUGUGAAAUACUCGUACGUACGACCUUACACGGUUGUUUUUAUGUACCUACCUUACCUACAUAAAAGAAAGAAUGGCUGUUUGAAAAUUUGGCCAGUAUUUUAACUUGAACUAGAAUUAUUACUAGAUUGGUAUUUUUUUAUCUGAUUUAAAAACAUUUCAAUAAUAUAAAUUGAACGGAAUUUCGAUUUGGAAAAUUUAAUCAAUUUUUCAUUAGCAAAUAUCAUCGAAUUGAUUAUUAAAAUUAAAUUUGAUAGAAAUUUAGGUAGGUAAGUAUUAUUAAAAUUCAUACAGAGUCGAGAUAUUAGAUUAUUUUUUAUGUUAAUUUCACCAUUUAUAACUUUGUAUUAUGAAUAAAGCGAUUAUUGAGGAUGGAUUUAGGAUUUUUAAUGGAAAUAGAUUUUGGAAUUUUUUCUUAAUUUUUUUUUUAUAUAAUACUAACCUAGAUAUCUUCAAGAAUUUUCACAGCGUCAGAAAAAUAGAUAAUAAGUGUAAUUGAAAAAUCCAUUUCAAAUCAAUAUUUUAUUAUUACUUUUUCACGAUGAUAAAAUUGUUUAAAUAUUUAGAUAGGUAUCACUAAUGUUCCUUUUUGCAGAUAAUAUGAAUGAAUUUAAAUGAUUUACAAAAAAAAAAAAUUAAAUCCACGAUCUAACUCUGAUUCUAGGAUUACAUGUAGAUAAGUUCAGGUAGUUGUCGUGUUGCAUUGUAUUCAUAUUAAUGAGAGGUAUUGUUUUCAACUUGAAACAAUAUUCAAAUCAGCAGAUUCGUAAGUCAAUGUUGCAAUCAUUUCUACGGAACCAGUUAGAUAAUUUAUUUCUUGAGCUAACGUCACAGCAAAUUUUUUUAUUAAAGUUGCAUUUUAAAAUGUUCCACGCUAUUGAAGUUUUUUUUUAUGUGUAUAUUUUACUCAACUACGUGGCAUCGCAUAAGUAUAGAUAUAGGUAGAGCUUUUUUUUUUUAUUGAGUCAUUCUAUGAUAAAAAAUAAGUACCUAGUCGUCGUUUAGAAUUUUACAUUGGUUCUUAUUUAGAUAGGUUGUUGUUCGUAGUAUCGUUUGAAUGGUGAUUUCUUACCUGGAUCCAAUUUUUGAAAAUAAAUUACUUUAAGCAGAUAAUUUUACGAGGAAUCCAAAGAAAAUUGUUUAUUUCAAUGCCAUUGCCAAGUACAAAGUAAAUAAUUCAUGGUGAGUAUUUUUGGGAUAUUUUUAUUGGGUUUGGAAACGUGGCUAAAUUGGUUAAAGGUGGUAAAUGGUGCACUUGAAGGCCAAGAAUAAUGCACCUUCCUCACCAAAUGUACUAUUGACUGAAAAAUUCUAAACUAAAAAUUUUUCUCAACCUAGAAAAACGAUUUUUUGGAUAAAAUAAGGCUCUUAAAAAAAGUGAAGGGAAUCAAAAUUGUGAAGCAAGGAACUUCCAUUCAAAAGAGUGAGGUUCAAUUUCUUCUAGAAAGAAUUUUUUUUGAGAUAAUGAGACCUGAAGUUGAAACUUUCAAGUUGAAUCAGUUGUUCGCGAUAUAAUUUGGAUUUUUUAUUUUGCUCGUAUUGUUUUUUUCAACGCUAAAAAUCGGUUUUUGAUUUAAACUAACGAGGGGAGUGCUUUAAACAGUAAAAAAAUUUGAACAAGUACCUAAAAGAUCAAUCAAAGAGCAUCCGAAAAUACAUCUCAGGCCAAAUUACAGAGGUUGAACUUCGUGUAUAAAUGUUUAAUGAAUUUUUUAAAAUUUCAAAUUUGGCUCAUAAAUAAAAAUUGAUAAAAUUGAAAUAAUUAGUCGAAAUUUAGUUUGUACACUAGAUAUUUUCAACAUCGCGAAUCGAUUGAUGGCGGUUUCAAGUCAUCUUUUUGGAGCCUCCAGAGAUUUCUGUUUUCUGUGUUUUUUUUUUUAAUUUUGGAAAAACUGUCACGCAAAAUCUUGGAUACAUGAAGUGACUCUCAUUCAAAUGUAUUCUGAGAGUGAAAAAAAUGGGAAUUUUUAGAAAAGCAGAGGAGUGAAAAUUAUUGAUCAAUGCGAUCAUUUACUUUGAUUAAAUCUUCUUAUCUACCUAUCGCCUAAGUUCAUCUACUUCGUAUUUAAUUCAUAAAAAUUUAAGUUAAAGUUUUUUCCAGGGUGAUAAAAGCGAACUUCAUUUUUUUUUAAUUUUGAAAGAGAUUUGGAACUGAAAAGAAGAUCUUUUCGCUGAAUCAGAGAUUUUAUAGGUAGUCUAGUACUUUUUUUUAUACCAUUUUUGGACUCAGCAAAAAAAAAAUUGAACAAACAUCCAAAAAUACACACACGGGCCUUUCAGUCAUAAAUUUAAUUUUUCAAAUUUUUCAAUUUUCUAUAAAAUUGUCUCCAGAAUUUUUUUAAAAGGAAAAAUUCAAUGCAGGAGCAUAAAAACUGAAAUGUGGUCUGUCUAUAUUCAGUUUAUGAUCUUCAAACUCGAAUUCUCUUCCACAAGUAGGUAAUAUUUGAACAAAAUUUUAGUGUUUUCACAUAUUCGUGUCGUCAGAUGGAUUUCAAACUUUUUGUGCGUACGUGCUUAUAAUUAUUUCCACUCCUCGUAUUACUCAUUUCAUCGAGAUCUACUAGUACACGAUUAGGAGAAUAAUUAGUCACUUCCGUUUAGUAUCAUCCUGCAUCAAAAUCCAUCUGGCGAUCAUUCAUAUGCGAAAAUCCCCAACGAAUCCGAGUAUCUUAUCAUCAUGAUAAACUUUUCGUUAUAAUCUCGUCUUAAUCAUACGAACGAACGUAUUAACCACCAGUAAAACACACGAUUCGUUAUUCAAACGACCAUAAAUAUUUUAUUACAAAUUAACAACAUAAUUACAUAUUAUCAAUUAUAACACAUCGGUUUUCAAAAAGAAGAAAAAAGAGAAAAAAAACUGUGGUUAAUUUAUAAUUAAUACAACAAGAAAUUUUCUUUUAUCACAAUAAUACAUAUAAACAAUUUAUAAUACAUGGAAACAUUUUUUCUAUACACAUUACAAAUUAACAAACACAACAAUGUACAUGAUAAAAAUGGUAGGGUGGGCGGAAUGUUAUAAACAAUACGCGGGUACUUACAGAAUAAAAAUUUAUAUUUGAUAAAUUAAAAAUUCCAUUAAAAAAAUCAUUUAUCGACUCCAUGUCGUUUGUACGUCGAGAUCUCACUAUAAUUAAAAAAAUAUUUUUCUUUUUUUUUACACACACGUUUCGUCGUUAUUUUUCCAAAAUACGCGCGAAAAAAAUAACGGUAAUAAAUAAGUUACAAAAAAUAUAACAAUAAAUAGAUUCAUUACAAAAGAGAAGAAAAAAAAUAUCGUAAUAAUAACAUUCAGGUAAAAUGAUAAUAAAUUUUCAUAAAAAUGUAAAUUUUUCGUCAUAAUGAACAAUUUAGUAGGCAUGCUAACCUACGUAAAAUAAUGUCAACAUUCCACUCGAUCGAGAUAAAAAAAAAUAACUAGUUAUACGUUUCGAGAGGAAAAUAAAAAAUAAAGAAGACUUUUGAUUCGGUAGAA
Long non-coding RNA from Planococcus citri (citrus mealybug), 5020 nucleotides. RefSeq lists it as uncharacterized. The record is from RefSeq and is a predicted model, not a curated record. Lineage: Eukaryota; Metazoa; Arthropoda; Insecta; Hemiptera; Pseudococcidae. The transcript is spliced from 3 exons.